UGGGGAAUAUUGCACAAUGGGCGCAAGCCUGAUGCAGCCAUGCCGCGUGUGUGAAGAAGGCCUUCGGGUUGUAAAGCACUUUCAGCGGGGAGGAAGGCGAUAAGGUUAAUAACCUUGUCGAUUGACGUUACCCGCAGAAGAAGCACCGGCUAACUCCGUGCCAGCAGCCGCGGUAAUACGGAGGGUGCAAGCGUUAAUCGGAAUUACUGGGCGUAAAGCGCACGCAGGCGGUUUGUUAAGUCAGAUGUGAAAUCCCCGGGCUCAACCUGAGAACUGCAUCUGAUACUGGCAAGCUUGAGUCUCGUAGAGGGGGGUAGAAUUCCAGGUGUAGCGGUGAAAUGCGUAGAGAUCUGGAGGAAUACCGGUGGCGAAGGCGGCCCCCUGGACAAAGACUGACGCUCAGGUGCGAAAGCGUGGGGAGCAAACAGG
RNAcentral lists this ribosomal RNA (429 nucleotides) under Chloroflexota bacterium. Its description in RNAcentral is "Chloroflexi bacterium partial 16S ribosomal RNA". It matches the Rfam family "Bacterial small subunit ribosomal RNA", at positions 355 to 776 of the family's 1533-position model. Lineage: Bacteria; Bacillati; Chloroflexota. The record is from RNAcentral.